This 788-nucleotide ribosomal RNA is filed under the name uncultured bacterium. RNAcentral's name for it is "bacterial SSU rRNA". It matches the Rfam family "Bacterial small subunit ribosomal RNA", at positions 8 to 796 of the family's 1533-position model. The record is from RNAcentral.
AGAGUUUGAUCCUGGCUCAGAAUGAACGCUGGCGGCGUGCCUAACACAUGCAAGUCGAGCGAGAAAACCCGAAAGGGUGAGUAAAGCGGCGAACGGGUGUAGAACGCGUGGGAAUCUGCCCUUUAGUGGAGAAUACCUUGGAGAAAUCCAAGCUAAUACUGCAUAAGCCCGGAAACGGGGAAAGAUGGCCUCAAAGCUAUCGCUGAAGGAUGAGCCUGCGUACUAUUAGCUAGUUGGUAGGGUAAAGGCCUACCAAGGCAAAGAUGGUUAGCCGGCCUGAGAGGGUGUACGGCCACAUUGGGACUGAGAUACGGCCCAGACUCCUACGGGAGGCAGCAGUGGGGAAUAUUGCGCAAUGGGCGAAAGCCUGACGCAGCGACGCCGCGUGGAGGAUGAAUGUCUUCGGAUUGUAAACUCCUGUUGAGUGGGAAAAAAUGGCAAUACCUAAUACGUAUUGCAGAUGAUGGUACCACUAGAGAAAGCACCGGCAAACUUCGUGCCAGCAGCCGCGGUAAUACGAAGGGUGCAAGCGUUAUUCGGAGUUACUGGGCGUAAAGAGCGUGUAGGCGGUCUGCUAAGUCAGUUGUUAAAGACCUUGGCUUAACUGAGGAAAUGCAGUUGAAACUGGCGGACUAGAGUGUAAGAGAGAGAGAUGGAAUUCUCGGAGUAGCGGUAAAAUGCGUAGAUCUCGAGAGGAACACCGGUAGCGAAGGCGGUCUCUUGGCUUAUAACUGACGCUAAAGCGCGAAAGCGUGGGGAGCAAACAGGAUUAGAUACCCUGGUAGUCC